This 497-nucleotide ribosomal RNA is filed under the name uncultured bacterium. Its description in RNAcentral is "partial 16S ribosomal RNA". It matches the Rfam family "Bacterial small subunit ribosomal RNA", at positions 28 to 507 of the family's 1533-position model. The record is from RNAcentral.
GACGAACGCUGGCGGCGUGCCUAAUACAUGCAAGUUGAGCGAUGAAGAUUGGUGCUUGCACCAAUUUGAAGAGCAGCGAACGGGUGAGUAACGCGUGGGGAAUCUGCCUUUGAGCGGGGGACAACAUUUGGAAACGAAUGCUAAUACCGCAUAACAACUUUAAACAUAAGUUUUAAGUUUGAAAGAUGCAAUUGCAUCACUCAAAGAUGAUCCCGCGUUGUAUUAGCUAGUUGGUGAGGUAAAGGCUCACCAAGGCGAUGAUACAUAGCCGACCUGAGAGGGUGAUCGGCCACAUUGGGACUGAGACACGGCCCAAACUCCUACGGGAGGCAGCAGUAGGGAAUCUUCGGCAAUGGACGAAAGUCUGACCGAGCAACGCCGCGUGAGUGAAGAAGGUUUUCGGAUCGUAAAACUCUGUUGGUAGAGAAGAACGUUGGUGAGAGUGGAAAGCUCAUCAAGUGACGGUAACUACCCAGAAAGGGACGGCUAACCACGUG